RNAcentral lists this ribosomal RNA (523 nucleotides) under uncultured Desulfosporosinus sp. Its description in RNAcentral is "bacterial SSU rRNA". It matches the Rfam family "Bacterial small subunit ribosomal RNA", at positions 401 to 916 of the family's 1533-position model. The record is from RNAcentral. Lineage: Bacteria; Bacillati; Bacillota; Clostridia; Eubacteriales; Desulfitobacteriaceae.
GUAUGAUGAAGGUCUUCGGAUUGUAAAGUACUGUCUUUGGGGAAGAAUGACUGAUUUGAAAAUAUUGAGUCAGUAUGACGGUACCCAAGGAGGAAGCCCCGGCUAACUACGUGCCAGCAGCCGCGGUAAUACGUAGGGGGCAAGCGUUGUCCGGAAUUAUUGGGCGUAAAGGGCGCGUAGGCGGAUCGUUAAGUCUGGUGUGAAAGAUCAGGGCUCAACCCUGAGAGUGCAUCGGAAACUGGGGAUCUUGAGGACAGGAGAGGAAAGUGGAAUUCCACGUGUAGCGGUGAAAUGCGUAGAUAUGUGGAGGAACACCAGUGGCGAAGGCGACUUUCUGGACUGUAACUGACGCUGAGGCGCGAAAGCGUGGGGAGCAAACAGGAUUAGAUACCCUGGUAGUCCACGCCGUAAACGAUGAGUGCUAGGUGUAGAGGGUAUCGACCCCUUCUGUGCCGCAGUUAACACAAUAAGCACUCCGCCUGGGGAGUACGGCCGCAAGGUUGAAACUCAAAUGAAUUGACGG